RNAcentral lists this ribosomal RNA (500 nucleotides) under uncultured bacterium. Its description in RNAcentral is "partial 16S ribosomal RNA". It matches the Rfam family "Bacterial small subunit ribosomal RNA", at positions 30 to 523 of the family's 1533-position model. The record is from RNAcentral.
AUUGAACGCUGGCGGCAGGCUUAACACAUGCAAGUCGAGCGGGGGAAGGUAGCUUGCUACUGGACCUAGCGGCGGACGGGUGAGUAAUGCUUAGGAAUCUGCCUAUUAGUGGGGGACAACAUCUCGAAAGGGAUGCUAAUACCGCAUACGUCCUACGGGGGAAAGCAGGGGAUCUUCGGACCUUGCGCUAAUAGAUGAGCCUAAGUCGGAUUAGCUAGUUGGUGGGUAAAGGACUACCAAGGCGACGAUCUGUAGCGGGUCUGGGAGGAUGAUCCGGCCAACUGGGACCGAGACACGGCCCCGACUCCUACGGGGGGGAGCAGUGGGGAAUAUUGGACAAUGGGGGGAACCCUGAUCCCGCCAUGCCGCGGGUGUGAAGAAGGCCUUAUGGUUGUAAAGCACUUUAAGCGAGGAGGAGGCUACUCUAGUUAAUACCUAGGGAUAGUGGACGUUACUCGCAGAAUAAGCACCGGCUAACUCUGUGCCAGCCGCCGCCGUAA